GGUAGGCUGUGGGGAAGCUGAUGGGUACCCUGGCGCUGCUCUCUGACGCUCUGGGGCUUGGUCUGCAAGGGGCAGAGCGAGGCUCAGGCCAAGGUGACAAAGCUGACCUUGCAGCAUGAUGAAUUGUUUCUAGGUAGUAUUGAAAUGUAGUGUUGGAAUGGAUGAAAGCGGUCAUAAUACCAUUAUUCUGCAUUUGUCAAUAUACUGGCCAGUAUGGCAGUCAGAAGUGCUUGUGUAGACUUCAAUUCCAACUUCCAAUAUAAGGUAUCAAGAUGCACGUUACAGAGCAUCGAGCCAAAUAAGCUAGCUGCAGUAUGCAUGUAUGUCAGGAAGAAUGAUAUCUUGCCGAAUAAUUUUGUUCUGGGAAGUGUCGAAUACUCUCAUCAGUAGGUGAGUAAGAUAAGCAGGCUAGGCGUGGAAGCAUGUCAUGGAACACAUCGACAGAGGAUGGUUUCUUACCGUAGUACAUUUCGAUUGCUCGAUCGAAAUCACCAUUUGUGGCUUCCAAGAAAAACGCAGCUUGUUCUUGAGGGGCAUUCGUGAGGGAAACGAAUCGCCCGACAUCCGAACUGCUUGCACUGUCGAGUCUGUCUGCAGAAGACCCCUCCAUGGUGAACAAUAAAGCAAUAGGUGGCAAGGAACAGCAUUCCUU
Molecule: long non-coding RNA, 652 nt
Filed under: Coccomyxa subellipsoidea
Lineage: Eukaryota; Viridiplantae; Chlorophyta; Trebouxiophyceae; Coccomyxaceae
Description: long non-coding RNA (CSUB_LNC000165)
Source: RNAcentral